GGUGAGAUGGCCGAGCGGUUAAGGCGCCAGACUAAGGUCCACAUGGCUUGGCCAUGACGUAAUCUGGUCCGAAAGGGCGUGGGUUCGAAUCCCACUCUCAUCA
This is a non-coding RNA of Hymenopellis radicata, 103 nucleotides long. Lineage: Eukaryota; Fungi; Basidiomycota; Agaricomycetes; Agaricales; Physalacriaceae. The record is from the annotation of a GenBank genome assembly.